RNAcentral lists this transfer RNA (74 nucleotides) under Rhodococcus (subgen. Prescottella) equi. RNAcentral's name for it is "Rhodococcus hoagii tRNA-Ser". It matches the Rfam family "tRNA". From Rfam's summary of the family: Transfer RNA (tRNA) molecules are approximately 80 nucleotides in length. Lineage: Bacteria; Bacillati; Actinomycetota; Actinomycetes; Mycobacteriales; Nocardiaceae. The record is from RNAcentral.
UCCUCUGUGGCGCAGAUGGUUAGCGCAGUGCCCUACUGCGGCGCGGGUCGCGGGUUCAAGUCCCGCCAGAGGGA